This 1189-nucleotide long non-coding RNA is filed under the name Pogona vitticeps (central bearded dragon). RNAcentral's name for it is "lncRNA (ENSPVIG00000020347.1)". The record is from RNAcentral. Lineage: Eukaryota; Metazoa; Chordata; Lepidosauria; Squamata; Agamidae.
AUGCGGUGGUGGUGGUGGCAGCUCUGGAUCGUGGCCCUCUUUCCCCUGCCAGCCCUACAAGCCGAGGAAGCCAGCGAUCCCUCCAAAGGUGGCCCUAAAAGACAUCUCAACCAGACGGGAGAUGGGGCCCUUCCCACGACGACAGCAUCGUGGGGGAAUCGGGCCAGCAGGACGUGGCCAACCCGAAAGACAGGCGAUGGGUGGGCGACGGAAACCACGUGGCUUUAUGCCCCCGAGGAGAGCAGCAGCCCCAGCACGGAAAAUAUAACCAGAAGGCUGCUCCGACCGACCAUCGCCGUUUCCUCGGUGAAUGGGACCUGCAACAUUACCUUGCACUGCGCCGUGACAGGUGGAGGAGGAGGCGGCGACGUGAACUUCACCUGGUUCCGCGGGGAGCGGGCCGAGGCGGUCCUCUCCUCGGAGGCCACCCUGCGGAUCACCCAGAGGCCUCCGGACGGGUCGCUGGAUUACACCUGCGCCGUCCGGACCAAGGAGAGCCAGAGCGCCAGCACAAUUUCUCUGGCGGAUCGCUGCCACGAGACUCCAGGCUUCUCGGCUGGCAGUUACGUGAAAUACUUAAUCCCGCUCGUGGUCGCGCUUGUCAUUUUGCUCAUCCUGUUCGGCAUGUACCGACGGAAAAAAGGACAAAUAGGGCGCCACAGUGGGACCGUUUCCAUCAAUGAACCCUCAGACUCCGAUCAGGAGGGCUACGUGGCUGCGGCGCACAGGAGCUUCCCCCAGGAGGCUUUCACGCCAGUCCCCGAAGAGACCCUACAAAUCACGAAAGCCUUAACCAGCUGCAGAGACAUGGAAAUCCUAGAGGCGCCGGAUCAACCCCCGAGCCAGGAAUAAAUCUCGCUUCCCGGAUCAGGUCCUCUCGGGUUUCUGGAUCACGAAGAGAUCUCCGUUGCCGGAUGGGUGCGAGUUCUGAUCCAACACCUCCAAAAAUGUGGUUAGGGGGAAAAAAGUGCACCCACAUCUUAGGGGGAAAACCCUCAUGUCUCCAAUCCAUUCCAAGCUCCGAAAGGUGCCACAAAAAUCGACCCUUCCCUAAACCACGUUUUCUUCAUGUGGUGCAGCAGAACACUUUAAAAAUGGAUCUUCAAGCAAAACAGGCUAUAGCUGUAGCAGGGAGGGCAAAUGGGGUGAAUCAAAUAAAACCAAUUAUUUAAAAAUAAUAUAAAGAUGA